Long non-coding RNA from Toxorhynchites rutilus septentrionalis, 7345 nucleotides. RefSeq lists it as uncharacterized. The transcript is spliced from 3 exons. NCBI's taxonomy places the organism in Eukaryota, Metazoa, Arthropoda, Insecta, Diptera, Culicidae. The record is from RefSeq and is a predicted model, not a curated record.
AACUGAGUCAGUGCCAAACUGACUCUGUAAUAAAAAAACGUUUUCAGUUUCACGAAUGCGUUGGUUUGUUGGUGUACGUUAUAUAGUCUGAUUUGUUUAUAUUUACGACGGCAAAUGUACAGUGUCGACGUCUGGUGGUGAUAUUAGUGCUUGGGAGGUAAAUUGUUAUCCAUCAGAUCAGAAGGGCCAAGUGCAGUGUAAACAUAUAAAAGUUUGAAUGAAAAUUUGUACUUCAUAUUGUUCGAUUACCUAACACAUGUAGUUCUGACACUCACUUAACCAUUUGUCGAUGCAUUUCCUGUUUGUUCCACAAAUAAUUACUAUUAUAAUAUAAAAUCAUUAGACACAGUUUUCGUUCAAUAUGUUUCUGCGAUAUUGGAAAAAACCUCUUAUUUAAUCACAUAAAAUAAAUAUUCAAUACGUUAAAGUAAAUUUUCAUUCAUAAUUUUGAUUUUGAAAUUUAUUCCAACUGAAUAUCCAUCAUUAUUUUCACCUCCCAAUGAAAGCACACGUAGCUUAAUGCCGUCUACUCGAAUAUACUCUUCAAAAUCAGAAUCCGAAUUGGAUUACGCUUCCAAUAAUACAAAAGCAAAAGCAGCAGGUUUUCCAUUUUCAUAGUCUUUAUUUUUAGAUUUUCCAAAAUAAUAUUCGGAACUUGACAGUUCAGUAUAGUUGUAUUGGUGAACCCGAGUGCCAACCCGUGAAACAUCUCAGUGCGAAACUAACAGUUUUCGGGGCGAACUAGUGCGACACUGAGUGCGAAACUGAGUGAAUAAAAAACCGUUUUGACAGCAGUUAGGCCGAUUACACAUUAUCCGGUUUCUGCCGGACCGGUUUGAAACCCAAAUGGCAAAUUUCGAUCGGACCAACCUUUUUACGGCGCCGUGAUGCAGCCGUCUACAGCGACUGCAAUGUCCGGUGACCGGACAAGCAUUAUACGCGAUGACCGUAGAAUAGUGUCGACGUCUGGUGGAGACAUCGGUUUGGGAAAGCAAAUCAUUCUCUAUAAGAUUAUCACACCUCAAGACAGUUUUAAGUUGUUUAAAUUUUUAAUGAAAACUUUUACUUCAUAUUAUUUGAUUGCUCAGAACCUGUGGUAUUGAUUCUUCCUUAACCAUUUUUGUAUAGUUUUCUUGAUAUUUUAACUAAAACUCAUCAUUGUAAUAUACAAUCAUUAUCAGACACAAUUAUUGUUCAGGAGGUUUCCCAACUUGCAAAAGAACGUAUUACUUUAUUACAGAACACAUUUCAUGAGAAGAAGUUAAUUUUCAUUCAUAGUUUUUAUUUUAAGAUAUGUGUUUAAUGCACCUGAAAAUCCAUUAUCACUAUCAUUUCCCAAAAGCGGAGCACGAAGCUCCAUGCCAUGAAAGCGAAUUGACAGUUGUUUGUCAUGUCUGUUAGUAUUAGUACAAUUCAGGCAAUUUUUCGUCUAAUGUAAUAGUAUGUGUGCACUAUUGACGUUUGUUUGUUGAUUUUGAAACCAGUUGAUAAUUUGCAAGUGAUAUGGAUGCUGAAAUUUUUAUUUCACUUCUUCAACAACUACCAGUGUUGUGGAACUAAUUCUGUGAUGCAAGUUUCUUCUCAAAGAGAAGCAAUGGUCACAGGUGCACGAUGUCAUCAUUUAGCAUAUUGCCACGGACUGUGUUAUUAACGGCAACAUCCCUUAUCUGAAAUAAUUAUUGAACGAGUUCGGGGAUGUCAAACAAAUCUUCAAUCGGUUCAUGGAGGGGCGGAUUUCGAGCGGCUUUAUCGAGCUGAAUGAGAAGUUUGACCUGACCGGCGACGCGAUCGACGAAGAGACCAAGGCACUCCAGCCAAAACUGUCAGAUAUGUGCUCUGUGGUCUAAAUGUUCCAAUGCCCGACGCCAAAGCAUCGGGUCUGUCAGAACGAAAUUCCAGCUUAUCUGAUUCGGUCAUUCUUUGCCCCGGAUCCGCGUAUUGAUAGCUGUGAUGCGAAUUGGGCUCGAGAAGCUGCCCAUGCCCCAGGAUUACGUGCUCGAGGAAUUGCGUCAUAUGUUGAGCUCGUUCUUCGACGAGGAUCAGCGGAAGUAGCAAUGGAAUAGUGUUUGAACGAAUUAUGUUAUUUUAUUCGUAAUUUGUUUACUGUAUUAAUGAAAUAAAAAAAAAAACUCUAGAAUGAAUGGAUGUGUAUACAUUCUCUUGUAGGUAAAUUCCAAAAUAAUCACAGAAAGUGAACACAUUAUACAUAUAAAUAAAUAGUGCCUCUGGCUUGUAACGGAAUGUUACUAUUAUUGGUUCAUGAGACUGUUGAAAAAUUAUGUGGCAACAGAGCGUGUGAAAUAAAUCAUACUAUUCGUGUAUGCUUGGAAACGAAAUAAUUAUGCGUAUGAAUGAAUAAACCGCAGCUGGACUAAAGUUAGUUUUUUAAACGUAUUCUGAAGUGGGGCGGAAGUAUUCACGAUAGGUACGGUAAGAACGCCGUUAUGAUGCAGGAUGUGUGUAAUGUCCGUGAGGCCUUUUCUAACUUUGAUCAUGCUCAUGGUGUGCUACACUCCAACAUUCGGCCUUAUGUGAUUUCCAAGGAACAUACAUAUGAGAACGCUCGUGGUUGCCGCAGCAGCUGUGGGUUUAAGGUUUUCCGUCUGCACUCAGCUGCAUGUAACCGGAAUAUUUGAAGCAAUGUUUACCUGUCAAAUCCACAUAUAAAUAAAUGCAUAUAUGUGUUUGUGAGAGAUGUACGGUUUUGUGUAGCGCGAGGUCUCUUUCACAUUGUUGUCCGGUUUUCCGUCCAAACCCAGCGGCGCUUUUUGAAACCGGUCCGGCAGAAACCGGAUAAUGUGUAAUCGCCCUUAGUGCGGCACUGGGGUUGAAACUGAACAAAAACGAAUUCGCUAUAAGCAAUAUGUGCAAUAUGGGCAAUAUGGGCAAACCCUGCAAUCCGACUGGAAAAAAUGGCCAUAAUUUGGGGGAACUACACACGAGCUCUUGGCAUGUGAAACAUACAAAAGGCGUUGGAAUAAACAGGAGCGCUCUUUAAGGGAGUGCUCUAAAGGCACUUUUGUGGAAAUUUUGGAAUGUGCUUCGUCACUAAUUCAACAACAUCCAUCGAGCAUAAACAAUGCCUUCGCUUCGCUGCAAGUUGACGGAAUGGUCGCGGGCUCAGUUAGCGUGGUUAUACCGUUUGUUUUCAAAGUGAAUUUGAUAGUGAUUAUUUGUUUAGCUGGUUCUUUCGACGCAGCUUGGGUCGCUGAGGGAUCUCGGGGAAAAUUUUAAACACACUCUCACGAUGCGGAACACAAAACAAAAUGGUGGACACGAAAUGGUGGGAAGGCACAAUUAAAACACUUUUUAUCGUUGGCGGGAAACAAGUUUUAUACUACAGAAAAAUCUAACAAAACUAAGAACAAAAAAAUAUCGCGGUUUGGAUGGCCACUCAAUUUACGCUUAAUAAAUAAAUCUUUUCUGUACAUAUAUAAAUUUUUAUUUAUGAUUUUCAAACUGGCUCGAGCUCACCGGUUUAGGUUGCAGCCGUUCGCUGCGUUGGUGCACUUCUGGUACCCCUUCGAUGGCUGGAACAGGCGAUGACGGGCAUGGGACGGCUUCGGCAGGACACAGGGACUAUUACACGACGAGGAACCAAACUUUUCACAUGGCACGGCCGGAUGUCACGACGGCCGGCGUCUCUGAUAGACCAGAGGGUCGAGAUAGCGUUUUGUACACUCACAAACUUGUGCACACACACGGUGAAUACCGUGAAGCCGGUAACCGAAAACUCUUGAAUUUUCCUGUGAACUAGCCUUUUUACGUGGCUAGUUCACAUUCGGAGGACAAAACCUUUUUUUUCUUUCGGGAUAUAUUACAAAAAUAAUCACAGUAAUCGCAACGGCGUCCGUCCGUGAUCAAACCUUCGCAAAGACUCCUCGAUUAUCCUUAGUUUUCUCCUCUCAACGCCUUUUCAUCCUUUUCAAAUUCCGUCCAACAAUUGAAUUUCUCGAUCCUGUUCAGGUUCCCUGGUAUUUUUGCAUUAAGGGUCAUUUCCAAUUCGCCACAGCCAUCCCUCUUGUUUCGGUUGGUGCCAGGACUAAUAACAAAACAUGUAAGGUAUAACAUGCUACCUUGGAAAAUAAACUUAACACUUUUUUCCGCAUAAAUAGAUAAAUGAACGAUAAACAAAACAAGCAAGUGUAAAUAAACUUUGAAUGUAUAAAUAAAUAAAUAAAUAAAUGAAUAAGUGAAUGAAUAAAUAAAUAAAUAAAUAAAUAAAUAAAUAUGUAAAUAAAUAUAGUUCUUUUCUACUACUAAAUAAAUAAAAACAACAAAACUAAACUACGAAAAAAAUAACUCUUUCUGAAACACCAACCUGGGGGUCUGCGAUUAACUGUUCAGUUGGUUCUUUACAAAAAUUGGACUCAUACAUCAUCUUUUCUACGACAGUUAAUCACAGACUCCCAAUACUACGUUUUUUUAUUGUUAUAUUAGAAAUGACAGAAAUCAAGUCAAACACAAGAUGUAGAUAUGGACUGUAAAUUUCUCAAAUGACAAUUUUACAAUUUUGGUAAGGUCCAAACCGAUGGUGUGCCUUUCUACCAAAUUUAUCAUUGUAACCCAACGUUUGGUUACAAAUUCCCGGCGCAAACAUGUAACCAAUCCCAUAGUUCGAGGGCAAGUCUCUUCGGUGAUACCUCCUGUUAACUUUCCUACAAAACCGAGUACAGUGGAAAAGCGAAAUCAGGGAAAAUGAUAUAUAUAUUCGACGUCAUCGCUUACCUGGGGAACGUAAAGUACCCGGUCCCCGGCCAUUCGUUGAAUUCUCUUUUUUUUUUUUCAAUGAUGUCCAUUUUGGCCAGAUUCUCCUUCACCGUUUGGACGGUUGUUUCGAUCUCCCGGCUUAAGGAGCGACAGGGAAAGGAUGUUGUAAAUACCAGAUCGGCUAUGUCUGGCGGACACAAUGUGUCUCAGGAUGUCCAACUCCUUUGCUGUGGAGUGAAGCUGAUAGUAUGAAAAAAUCAUGAAGUUGCUUGACAGUGCUGCUGCUUAUCAACAGCCUUGAAUAAUUUUUGUUGUAGGCUUAAUAAACGUAAUAUUUAAGAAAAAAUUGUUCCAUUAAAUUAUUUUUUGUAGUUUUUUUUCAUCGUCAUCCGAAAAUAUUCAAUUUUUGAUGCAUACGUAAACACUAAAUUGAAUGAAAAAUUGAUUGAAAUUUUCGAGCAUUCCAUUCGGUAAUUUGAAGAAAAUUGUUGAAUUUGAAUCGUGCUUGCCACGUUUUAAUGCUCUAACUGAGCGAGUGAUUUUCAGGCGUAAACAAAAUCUAAACCACCGAAAAAACACAACUGAAAAACGAUACUUAGAAAGAAAUAAUACAGAUCAGGUUUGAUUGCAAGAACACAUGUUAAGUGUUUCACGAAUAAAUGAGACUCGCUAAACUAUGGUUUAUUUUCACAUAACGUAUAUACAUAACGUUUUUUUUUGUGUCCCGCGUUAGACCUUUGACCAUCUGGUCACUUUAGUUUAGGUGACAUCAAAAAUCCCAGCUGUCCCUAGAUUGCCGUCAUUUUCAACUUCCCAGUCAUGAUUUAUAAAGUUUUCUGACAGUGUGGAGAAAAUCUUUACGUUCUUUAAUGUUUUAGACUCCAUCAUAACCACUGUCACCGUAAUAUUCACAAUGAUUAUCUCUCUCGUUUUUCUAAUUUAAAUAGAGAGAUGACAGCUUGUAUUGGCCUCCGGGAGUGGUGGUUGGUCGCAAGCAGCUUUCUGACAUGUGCUAUCUCCUUUCUCGACCUCGGUUGAUCUUGGGAGACUUCAACUCUCACGGAACCACCUGCGGGGAACAAUACGACAACAACCGUUCAUCCUUGAUAUAUGACCUUUGUAACAGCUUCAAUAUGAUCGUUUUGAACAAUAUGAUCCUGCUAAACCAAGUGCUCUUGACAUAUCGCUUUGCUCGAAUUCACUACCGUCAGAUUGCAAGUGGAAUGUAAUCCAGGACCCCAACGGUAGUGAUCACUUGCCAAUCACGAUUUCUAUCACCAAUGAAUCAAUAAACAUGGCACCAUAUAAUAUUUUUUAGUAUGAUUAGGGUUGUGCAUUAAGCACGUUAUAGGUAAAUCAGGGAAAAUAACACCUCCCACUCUUUUCACCCUUGAUCUAGAGUACAACAGCCUUGAUCUGUAGUACAAUUUAGCCGGAAACAACUAUCCUCUAUACGGCUAAAAUCACGAGUUGUUUCAUGUGGUCUUCUCACCCCUAGUGGUGGCCAACAUUACCCGGCAUGAUUUCAGUAGCACCAUUUUCAUAUCUUUUUUGUCUUAUCAUAUAACAUUAUGGAAUAAGAAAUAAACUUUCUGAAGAAAAUAUGUCAUCCCACUUAACUCGAGUCGACCAUGAGGAAUCGGUUUCACAUUAUAUUCACCAUAGUAAUAAGAGAUAAUGAUAAUGUUUAAUCGUUUUAUAAAUAUAGAGUUUAGAGACUCCGUGAAACUUACGUAACUGAGUCUGUAAAAAUAAAUGUUUGUUUUUUUAAAUACACCUCAUUGUUCAAUUAUCAUUGAACUCGAUAUUUUUGUCUCCGCAUUACUUUGCGAUGUAUGCUCUCAACGCAUACAAUGAGCCUCGAGAUUUUGGCAUUUUAGCACUUAGCCAUCUUAUUAAAACAAAAAUUUAAAGAAAAUUGGGUUUGGUUCCUCGAGAGUAACUGAGCCGGCGAAAAAAGACAGUCGAUUUACUCGUAUAAUAGAAAUAGUGUUGAAGUCGUAGUGUGAAAGAAACAAAAUAUGCAUCUAAGAUCAAUGCCGGGAAAUUCCCAAUAUCGACCUAUGAAACAUCAUUGUCAAAUGAAUGAAAUCACGUUAACGGAUUAGAUCGGUCAAGCUAUUGUGUAAGCGAUGAUUAACGCGAUCAUUCUGGGGAUAUUUCAAUGAAUACACCUAUUUCCUCUCCAAGGGGGAGGAAUGAUCAAACAUCAACACCAUACCGGAGAAAUUUUCUACAUCUCACUAUUAUUCAGUUAUAGGUGGAGCAAUCUAUACACACCAUUAGAUGAGAACAUUACCGAGUUGACUUAGGUUAAUUUGUAUGGCCUUUCAUUUAGAGCUCAUGCACGAUGAUAUGUAUACAAAUAUUUGGCGAGGCUUGUUACGAUGAAACCAACGUUGGUGUUUUAAACUGUUCCUCACUUGAGAUCACUUUACCAUCUUGUGAAUAAAUGCUUAUAAAAUAAUCAAAUAGUGAAUUUUACGAGAAAAUGCUGCAAAUAAUAAUAAACAAGUCUCUCGGCUGGGCUCGGCAAUAAAUUCAAAGGAGUGUUAUUAACAAUUCGUCUGUCUGAGGAUAAUACAAAUCAAUCACGCAUCACAGAACAUUGGAAUAAACAAUCAUUUAAAUUUCA